GUGGGGGAUAUUGCACAAUGGGGGAAACCCUGAUGCAGCGACGCCGCGUGGAGGAAGAAGGUUUUCGGAUUGUAAACUCCUGUCGUUAGGGACGAUAAUGACGGUACCUAACAAGAAAGCACCGGCUAACUACGUGCCAGCAGCCGCGGUAAAACGUAGGGUGCAAGCGUUGUCCGGAAUUACUGGGUGUAAAGGGAGCGCAGGCGGACCGGCAAGUUGGAAGUGAAAACUAUGGGCUCAACCCAUAAAUUGCUUUCAAAACUGCUGGCCUUGAGUAGUGCAGAGGUAGGUGGAAUUCCCGGUGUAGCGGUGGAAUGCGUAGAUAUCGGGAGGAACACCAGUGGCGAAGGCGACCUACUGGGCACCAACUGACGCUGAGGCUCGAAAGCAUGGGUAGCAAACAGGA
RNAcentral lists this ribosomal RNA (406 nucleotides) under uncultured bacterium. Its description in RNAcentral is "bacterial SSU rRNA". It matches the Rfam family "Bacterial small subunit ribosomal RNA", at positions 354 to 777 of the family's 1533-position model. The record is from RNAcentral.